Molecule: ribosomal RNA, 252 nt
Filed under: uncultured bacterium
Lineage: Bacteria
Description: partial 16S ribosomal RNA
Rfam family: Bacterial small subunit ribosomal RNA
Source: RNAcentral
ACGGAGGUCCCAAGCGUUGUUCGGAUUCACUGGGCGUAAAGGGUGCGUAGGCGGUCGGGAAAGUUUGAUGUGAAAGCUCCGGGCUCAACCUGGAAAAUGCAUUGAAAACUAUUCGACUAGAGGAUUGUAAGGGAGACUGGAAUUCUCGGUGUAGCAGUGAAAUGCGUAGAUAUCGAGAGGAACACCAGUGGCGAAGGCGAGUCUCUGGACAAAUCCUGACGCUGAGGCACGAAAGCUAGGGGAGCAAACAGG